RNAcentral lists this ribosomal RNA (116 nucleotides) under uncultured bacterium. RNAcentral describes it as "partial 16S ribosomal RNA". It matches the Rfam family "Bacterial small subunit ribosomal RNA", at positions 1357 to 1482 of the family's 1533-position model. The record is from RNAcentral.
CUGCGGUGAAUACGUUCCCGGGCCUUGUACACACCGCCCGUCAAGCCAUGGAAGCUGGGGGUACCUGAAGUACGUAACCGCAAGGAGCGUCCUAGGGUAAAACCGGUAACUGGGCU